AGCUAACGCGUAAGCGAGGCAGCGACCUAAGGUAGGGUCAGCGAUUGGGGUGAAGUCGUAACAAGGUAGCCGUAGGAGAACCUGCGGCUGGAUCACCUCCUUU
This 103-nucleotide ribosomal RNA is filed under the name Clostridium butyricum. RNAcentral describes it as "partial 16S ribosomal RNA". It matches the Rfam family "Bacterial small subunit ribosomal RNA", at positions 1433 to 1533 of the family's 1533-position model. The record is from RNAcentral. Lineage: Bacteria; Bacillati; Bacillota; Clostridia; Eubacteriales; Clostridiaceae.